UCCUUGGUGGCUCAGACGGUAAAGCGUCUGCCUGUAAUGCGGGAGUACUGGGUUCGAUUCCUGGGUGGGGAC
RNAcentral lists this transfer RNA (72 nucleotides) under Ovis aries (sheep). It matches the Rfam family "tRNA". Rfam says of the family: Transfer RNA (tRNA) molecules are approximately 80 nucleotides in length. Their secondary structure includes four short double-helical elements and three loops (D, anti-codon, and T loops). Further hydrogen bonds mediate the characteristic L-shaped molecular structure. tRNAs have two regions of fundamental functional importance: the anti-codon, which is responsible for specific mRNA codon recognition, and the 3' end, to which the tRNAs corresponding amino acid is attached (by aminoacyl-tRNA synthetases). tRNAs cope with the degeneracy of the genetic code in two manners: having more than one tRNA (with a specific anti-codon) for a particular amino acid; and 'wobble' base-pairing, i.e. permitting non-standard base-pairing at the 3rd anti-codon position. The record is from Rfam by way of RNAcentral. Lineage: Eukaryota; Metazoa; Chordata; Mammalia; Artiodactyla; Bovidae.